UACAGAGGGUGCAAGCGUUGUUCGGAAUUACUGGGCGUAAAGCGUGCGCAGGCGGUUCGUUGUGUCGGCGGUGAAAGCCCCGGGCUUAACCUGGGAAUGGCCGUUGAAACUGGCGAACUGGAGUGUGGCAGAGGGGGGUGGAAUUCCGCGUGUAGCAGUGAAAUGCGUAGAGAUGCGGAGGGACACCGAUGGCGAAGGCAGCCCCCUGGGCUAACACUGACGCUCAGGCACGAAAGCGUGGGGAGCAAACAGG
This 253-nucleotide ribosomal RNA is filed under the name uncultured bacterium. RNAcentral describes it as "partial 16S ribosomal RNA". It matches the Rfam family "Bacterial small subunit ribosomal RNA", at positions 524 to 776 of the family's 1533-position model. The record is from RNAcentral.